AAUAAUAAAAAGGAGCAAGGAUUAGCUAAAUCAAGAGCAGCAAUUAGCAAUUAAAAAAGCAGCUUCUAAUUUGCCGUUUGUUCCCGCCGCCAGCCGUUACCGUCUGCCGCCAUUCCUUCUCCGCCUGCCCUCAUUUCAAGUGAGGAAGGAGAUACAGAAGAACCGUAUAAUGGGAUAGCAACUCCUGAACAACUUCGCAUUUCGGCUGAUUUGGAACGAGUGUACGAUGAGACAAUUCGUGAUGGAAGCGACGAAAGCACGGCCAACUCAAUUGCGAUAGAAAAAGUGCUCGGGAAAAGCAAAGGGCUUGGAAUUAAGAUUGCAACCACCACAAAGAGUUCAAAGUCGAGAUUUUCUUCAAUUCCGCCGGAAGUGCAAAUGGAAAUGAAUUCAAUGAAAGAGCAAAUGCUACUUAAAGAUGAAAAAAUGGAAAGAUUGGAAGCGGAAUUGAAAGAAACCCGAGAAAUUGUGAACACCUUGGUCGGCCGUUUUGGACUACAAGCCUCGACAUCGACUCCUUCCAAUGAUGGUGGAGUAUAAAAAAGGGAUGAACUUUGUUUGGUUUUUGAAUUAAACUUUGCAACACUACAUUAUAUGCUUUUAAGUUUUAUGUACUUUUUUAAUUUAUGUUUUGUGCUACAUUGAUAUUUAAUCCGUAUAAUUGGUUUUAAUAUUUUCGAUA
Erythranthe guttata (spotted monkey flower) is the source of this 682-nucleotide non-coding RNA. The record is from RefSeq and is a predicted model, not a curated record. Lineage: Eukaryota; Viridiplantae; Streptophyta; Magnoliopsida; Lamiales; Phrymaceae.